RNAcentral lists this ribosomal RNA (422 nucleotides) under Lycosa munieri. RNAcentral's name for it is "eukaryotic LSU rRNA". The record is from RNAcentral. Lineage: Eukaryota; Metazoa; Arthropoda; Arachnida; Araneae; Lycosidae.
GGCGGGGCUCGUCCCUUUCGCCGGUUGUUAGCCUUCCCGUCGGUGGCUCGUCUCCCCGCGGAGGUAUCAUGACGUCCUUCGGGGCGUCUGCAUCUCCUCCUCGUUAGAAGUCUGGACGUGCAGUGGCGAGCGAAGGCAACCGCGCGGCCGCACUCCGCCGGAGUGGGCCAGCGUACGGUCGGCGCCGGCGGCCGCUGAGGACCAGUCGGAGGUCGGAGGUUAGCGGCGAGUAGGUCGGUCACCCACCCGACCCGUCUUGAAACACGGACCAAGGAGUCUAACAUGUGCGCGAGUCAAUGGGUCUCGAACAAGCCCAGAGGCGCAAUGAAAGUAAAGGUCGGCACCAGCCGGCCGAGUCGGGAUCCCCCGCGAGAGCGGGGGCGCACCGACGACCCGUCUUAUGCCGUUUACGGCUUGGGCGG